RNAcentral lists this ribosomal RNA (3007 nucleotides) under Salmonella enterica. RNAcentral describes it as "23S ribosomal RNA". It matches the Rfam family "Bacterial large subunit ribosomal RNA". The record is from RNAcentral. Lineage: Bacteria; Pseudomonadati; Pseudomonadota; Gammaproteobacteria; Enterobacterales; Enterobacteriaceae.
GGUUAAGCGACUAAGCGUACACGGUGGAUGCCCUGGCAGUCAGAGGCGAUGAAGGGCGUGCUAAUCUGCGAUAAGCGCCGGUAAGGUGAUAUGAACCGUUAUAACCGGCGAUACCCGAAUGGGGAAACCCAGUGUGACUCGUCACACUAUCAUUAACUGAAUCCAUAGGUUAAUGAGGCGAACCGGGGGAACUGAAACAUCUAAGUACCCCGAGGAAAAGAAAUCAACCGAGAUUCCCCCAGUAGCGGCGAGCGAACGGGGAGGAGCCCAGAGCCUGAAUCAGCAUGUGUGUUAGUGGAAGCGUCUGGAAAGGCGCGCGAUACAGGGUGACAGCCCCGUACACAAAAGCGCAUGUGUUGUGAGCUCGAUGAGUAGGGCGGGACACGUGGUAUCCUGUCUGAAUAUGGGGGGACCAUCCUCCAAGGCUAAAUACUCCUGACUGACCGAUAGUGAACCAGUACCGUGAGGGAAAGGCGAAAAGAACCCCGGCGAGGGGAGUGAAAAAGAACCUGAAACCGUGUACGUACAAGCAGUGGGAGCCCCACCACUAAGCCAGUGGUGAACUCCACAUACGCAUCCUUUGCUGAGGAUACGGUUAACGGAGCGAAAGCGACGUUCAACCGCAAAAGAAGCAGAGGGGGCUUAGUGGUGGGGUGACUGCGUACCUUUUGUAUAAUGGGUCAGCGACUUAUAUUCUGUAGCAAGGUUAACCGUAUAGGGGAGCCGUAGGGAAACCGAGUCUUAACCGGGCGUUAAGUUGCAGGGUAUAGACCCGAAACCCGGUGAUCUAGCCAUGGGCAGGUUGAAGGUUGGGUAACACUAACUGGAGGACCGAACCGACUAAUGUUGAAAAAUUAGCGGAUGACCUGUGGCUGGGGGUGAAAGGCCAAUCAAACCGGGAGAUAGCUGGUUCUCCCCGAAAGCUAUUUAGGUAGCGCCUCGUGAAUUCAUCUCCGGGGGUAGAGCACUGUUUCGGCUAGGGGGCCAUCCCGGCUUACCAACCCGAUGCAAACUGCGAAUACCGGAGAAUGUUAUCACGGGAGACACACGGCGGGUGCUAACGUCCGUCGUGAAGAGGGAAACAACCCAGACCGCCAGCUAAGGUCCCAAAGUCAUGGUUAAGUGGGAAACGAUGUGGGAAGGCCCAGACAGCCAGGAUGUUGGCUUAGAAGCAGCCAUCAUUUAAAGAAAGCGUAAUAGCUCACUGGUCGAGUCGGCCUGCGCGGAAGAUGUAACGGGGCUAAACCAUGCACCGAAGCUGCGGCAGCGACACUCAGGUGUUGUUGGGUAGGGGAGCGUUCUGUAAGCCUGUGAAGGUGUGUCGUGAGGCAUGCUGGAGGUAUCAGAAGUGCGAAUGCUGACAUAAGUAACGAUAAAGCGGGUGAAAAGCCCGCUCGCCGGAAGACCAAGGGUUCCUGUCCAACGUUAAUCGGGGCAGGGUGAGUCGACCCCUAAGGCGAGGCCGAAAGGCGUAGUCGAUGGGAAACGGGUUAAUAUUCCCGUACUUGGUGUUACUGCGAAGGGGGGACGGAGAAGGCUAUGUUGGCCGGGCGACGGUUGUCCCGGUUUAAGCGUGUAGGUGUGUGUUCCAGGUAAAUCCGGUUCACUUUAACACUGAGGCGUGAUGACGAGGCACUACGGUGCUGAAGCAACAAAUGCCCUGCUUCCAGGAAAAGCCUCUAAGCAUCAGGUAACAUCAAAUCGUACCCCAAACCGACACAGGUGGUCAGGUAGAGAAUACCAAGGCGCUUGAGAGAACUCGGGUGAAGGAACUAGGCAAAAUGGUGCCGUAACUUCGGGAGAAGGCACGCUGACACGUAGGUGAAGUGAUUUACUCAUGGAGCUGAAGUCAGUCGAAGAUACCAGCUGGCUGCAACUGUUUAUUAAAAACACAGCACUGUGCAAACACGAAAGUGGACGUAUACGGUGUGACGCCUGCCCGGUGCCGGAAGGUUAAUUGAUGGGGUCAGCGCAAGCGAAGCUCCUGAUCGAAGCCCCGGUAAACGGCGGCCGUAACUAUAACGGUCCUAAGGUAGCGAAAUUCCUUGUCGGGUAAGUUCCGACCUGCACGAAUGGCGUAAUGAUGGCCAGGCUGUCUCCACCCGAGACUCAGUGAAAUUGAACUCGCUGUGAAGAUGCAGUGUACCCGCGGCAAGACGGAAAGACCCCGUGAACCUUUACUAUAGCUUGACACUGAACAUUGAGCCUUGAUGUGUAGGAUAGGUGGGAGGCUUUGAAGUGUGGACGCCAGUCUGCAUGGAGCCGACCUUGAAAUACCACCCUUUAAUGUUUGAUGUUCUAACGUGGACCCGUAAUCCGGGUUGCGGACAGUGUCUGGUGGGUAGUUUGACUGGGGCGGUCUCCUCCUAAAGAGUAACGGAGGAGCACGAAGGUUGGCUAAUCCUGGUCGGACAUCAGGAGGUUAGUGCAAUGGCAUAAGCCAGCUUGACUGCGAGCGUGACGGCGCGAGCAGGUGCGAAAGCAGGUCAUAGUGAUCCGGUGGUUCUGAAUGGAAGGGCCAUCGCUCAACGGAUAAAAGGUACUCCGGGGAUAACAGGCUGAUACCGCCCAAGAGUUCAUAUCGACGGCGGUGUUUGGCACCUCGAUGUCGGCUCAUCACAUCCUGGGGCUGAAGUAGGUCCCAAGGGUAUGGCUGUUCGCCAUUUAAAGUGGUACGCGAGCUGGGUUUAGAACGUCGUGAGACAGUUCGGUCCCUAUCUGCCGUGGGCGCUGGAGAACUGAGGGGGGCUGCUCCUAGUACGAGAGGACCGGAGUGGACGCAUCACUGGUGUUCGGGUUGUCAUGCCAAUGGCACUGCCCGGUAGCUAAAUGCGGAAGAGAUAAGUGCUGAAAGCAUCUAAGCACGAAACUUGCCCCGAGAUGAGUUCUCCCUGAGACUUAGAGUCUCCUGAAGGAACGUUGAAGACGACGACGUUGAUAGGCCGGGUGUGUAAGCGCAGCGAUGCGUUGAGCUAACCGGUACUAAUGAACCGUGAGGCUUAACCUU